CAAUAGCGUAUAUUUAAGUUGUUGCAGUUAAAAAGCUCGUAGUUGGAUUUCGGUCAAGAGCGACCGGUCCGCCGUUUGGUGUGCACUGGUUGGUUUUAACUUCCUGUAGAGGACGUGCUCUGGGUUUAACGACCUGGACUCGGAGUCUACGUGGUUACUUUGAAAAAAUUAGAGUGUUCAAAGCGGGCUUACGCUUGAAUAUUUCAGCAUGGAAUAACACUAUAGGACUCCUGUCCUAUUUCGUUGGUCUCGGGACGGGAGUAAUGAUUAAGAGGAACAGUUGGGGGCAUUCGUAUUUCAUUGUCAGAGGUGAAAUUCUUGGAUUUAUGAAAGACGAACUUCUGCGAAAGCAUUUGCCAAGGAUGUUUUCAUUAA
RNAcentral lists this ribosomal RNA (375 nucleotides) under uncultured eukaryote. RNAcentral's name for it is "partial 18S ribosomal RNA". It matches the Rfam family "Eukaryotic small subunit ribosomal RNA", at positions 592 to 976 of the family's 1831-position model. The record is from RNAcentral.